GCUGGGCUUGGAGGGCAUAUGCCUGUAAUCCCAGUGACUCUGGAGGCUGAGGCAGGAGGAUUGCAAGUUCAAGGUCAACCUCAGCAACUUAGCAAGACUCUGUCUUAA
This 108-nucleotide small RNA is filed under the name Marmota monax (woodchuck). Lineage: Eukaryota; Metazoa; Chordata; Mammalia; Rodentia; Sciuridae. The record is from RNAcentral.